RNAcentral lists this ribosomal RNA (369 nucleotides) under uncultured organism. RNAcentral describes it as "partial 16S ribosomal RNA". It matches the Rfam family "Bacterial small subunit ribosomal RNA", at positions 527 to 896 of the family's 1533-position model. The record is from RNAcentral.
AGAGGGUGCAAGCGUUAAUCGGAAUUACUGGGCGUAAAGGGCGUGUAGGUGGAAAGGUAAGUGAGAUGUGAAAGCCCUGGGCUUAACCCGGGGAUGCCAUUUGAAACUGUUUUUCUAGAGUACAGGAGAGGGAAGUGGAAUUUCCGGUGUAGCGGUGAAAUGCGUAGAUAUCGGAAGGAACAUCUGUGGCGAAGGCGACUUUCUGGCCUGAUACUGACACUGAGACGCGAAAGCGUGGGUAGCGAACAGGAUUAGAUACCCUGGUAGUCCACGCUGUAAACGAUGAGAACUAGCUGUUGUGGAGCAUGACUUUGCAGUGGCGUAGCUAACGCGCUAAGUUCUCCGCCUGGGAGUACGGCCGCAAGGUUA